GGCUCUGUGGCUUAGUUGGAUAAAGUGCCUGUCUCAUAAAUGGAAGAUCCUGGGUUGGAAUCCCAGUGGGGCCU
Bos taurus (domestic cattle) is the source of this 74-nucleotide non-coding RNA. NCBI's taxonomy places the organism in Eukaryota, Metazoa, Chordata, Mammalia, Artiodactyla, Bovidae. The record is from Rfam.